Molecule: ribosomal RNA, 669 nt
Filed under: uncultured beta proteobacterium
Lineage: Bacteria; Pseudomonadati; Pseudomonadota; Betaproteobacteria
Description: bacterial SSU rRNA
Rfam family: Bacterial small subunit ribosomal RNA
Source: RNAcentral
GCAAGUCGAACGGCAGCGCGGGAGCAAUCCUGGCGGCGAGUGGCGAACGGGUGAGUAAUACAUCGGAACGUGCCCAAUCGUGGGGGAUAACGCAGCGAAAGCUGUGCUAAUACCGCAUACGAUCUACGGAUGAAAGCAGGGGAUCGCAAGACCUUGCGCGAAUGGAGCGGCCGAUGGCAGAUUAGGUAGUUGGUGAGGUAAAGGCUCACCAAGCCUUCGAUCUGUAGCUGGUCUGAGAGGACGACCAGCCACACUGGGACUGAGACGCGGCCCAGACUCCUACGGGAGGCAGCAGUGGGGAAUUUUGGACAAUGGGCGAAAGCCUGAUCCAGCCAUGCCGCGUGCAGGAUGAAGGCCUUCGGGUUGUAAACUGCUUUUGUACGGAACGAAACGGCCUUUUCUAAUAAAGAGGGCUAAUGACGGUACCGUAAGAAUAAGCACCGGCUAACUACGUGCCAGCAGCCGCGGUAAUACGUAGGGUGCAAGCGUUAAUCGGAAUUACUGGGCGUAAAGCGUGCGCAGGCGGUUAUGUAAGACAGUUGUGAAAUCCCCGGGCUCAACCUGGGAACUGCAUCUGUGACUGCAUAGCUAGAGUACGGUAGAGGGGGAUGGAAUUCCGCGUGUAGCAGUGAAAUGCGUAGAUAUGCGGAGGAACACCGAUGGCGAAGG